Danaus plexippus (monarch butterfly) is the source of this 804-nucleotide long non-coding RNA. RefSeq lists it as uncharacterized. Lineage: Eukaryota; Metazoa; Arthropoda; Insecta; Lepidoptera; Nymphalidae. The transcript is spliced from 3 exons. The record is from RefSeq and is a predicted model, not a curated record.
UUACGGUUUUUAGACGUUGGACGUUUUAGAUAUAUAUUAUAUAUAAUAGAAAUUUAUAUAACCAUUUAGAAAACAAUUACGUGAGCUAAUUUCUAUAGAAAUUUUAAGUAAACAAUAGCGGAGGAGCAAGCGCUGUGCUAAAGUCCAGAAGCUUCUACGCAGUGAUGCAGCAUCCAUUCAAGAUGAUCGGAGCUUCGUUAAUUGUAAGCCCGUCAACCUCACUUCCGGCCUACGCUACGCUUGUGCUUGCAAUUGCGCUUCGGUUUUUUUAACAGCAUAAUUAUGACAGCAUAUUAUUUUUCUCACACAAAUCGGUGACUUCUUAAAAAGUGAUACAUUAUUUCUCUAUUGGUUUAUUUUUACACAUGAUUUUUCCAAAUCCAUACCUUUCUAGAACUUUCUAGAACGUCCACUAAUACGUUAUUUUAUUAAGUAUGUCUUUACAAAUAGUCGGUAUAAAAAUUUUUAAAAACUAUUCUCAAAUUUUUUUUUUAAUAAUUCGAUUAUAUUUAAUAUUCAUAAUUUUAUUUAUCAAUAUUUGAAUAAAAAAUAUAUAAAACCUUCUAAAUACUUGUAGGUAUAUAAACAUAUAUAAACAUAAUUCCUUUAAAAUUUUUAGCGAAUUUCAAGAAACAGUCACAACUAACGCGAACACACUAAAUUGUAUUCUAUAAAAUAUUACAUUUUUAACAUUAAUAUAGGUAUAAAUUAAACUGCAGAUGAAUUAAAUUGUAGGGAGGGGAAGUAAUAUAUUACUAAACAAAAACCGAUACCUACACGAAAAGUACCGAAAAAUAUAUUAAA